Molecule: ribosomal RNA, 511 nt
Filed under: uncultured bacterium
Lineage: Bacteria
Description: partial 16S ribosomal RNA
Rfam family: Bacterial small subunit ribosomal RNA
Source: RNAcentral
GACAAACGCUGGCGGCAUGCCUAACACAUGCAAGUCGAACGGACAGAUCAGGGAAGCUGUUCGGCGUGUAACUGGCACGUUAGAAGGUGACGUGUGGGUAACGCGUGGACAAGGUACCUUGUAAAGGUGAAGAACCUGGAGAAAGCGAAGCUGAUACCCCACAAUAACAUUGCUUCGCAUCAAAUUAGGAGGAAGGGCAGGCAAAGCGCUGUCAAGACAAGAUGGAGUCGCUGCUGAUUAGCUAGUUGGUGCGGUAAAGGCUCACGAAGGCGACGAUCAGUAGCCCGCCUGAGAGGGUGAACGGCUACCUUGGCACUGAGGAACGGCCCCAACUCCUACGGGAGGCCGCAGUGGGGAAUCUUCCGCAAUGGGCGAAAGCCUGACGGAGCAAUGCCGCGUGAGUGCAGACGGCCUUCGGGUUGUAAAACUCUGUCCUUCUCGAAGAGAGAGUGUUGUAGUACUUGACAAUACUAGGACGGUAGAUGAGGAAGAAGCCCCGGCUAACUAUGUG